This is an RNA transcript of Pseudophryne corroboree (corroboree frog), 616 nucleotides long. It is a transcript of the gene named insulin-like, with no coding region annotated. Lineage: Eukaryota; Metazoa; Chordata; Amphibia; Anura; Myobatrachidae. The record is from RefSeq and is a predicted model, not a curated record. The transcript has 3 exons.
CAAGACAAUAAAGGACAAGUACAGGGUAUAGAAACAUUGCAGCAGCAUCAGACGACACUUUAAUAAGUAUCGGUGUAGCAGAAAACCGAGGGAUUUGGUGCUUUCGAAGGGAGUAUGGAGUAGAAGAUGGUUUAAAUCCAGCCCUUCCGCGGUAUACUCUUCAGGAGUAUGGCCCAAGGACAGUGGAGGAAAGCUGCAGUUCUUUUGGUGUUUGUGUUUUUCUUGACAGAAUCUCAAGCCGCUGGCAUUCACUAUCUCUGCGGAGAGCAUCUCGUACAGACGCUCCUUCUGGUGUGUGAAGGCAAAGGUUUCUACUCCAGACCUCACAAGGGCUCAGUACAGAACAACAGCCCUGUACAUCGGUUUGCAGAACGGAAUAGGAGGAAGAUUGGUAUAGUGGAAAAGUGCUGUCAUCAGUCCUGCAGCUUCUAUGACCUCCAGUCCUACUGCAUGACCUGAUUCUUGUCCAUACUGUAUGCCCAAGUAACCUUCCACAUAAGUGAUGUCUGCAUGGAGAUUGAAAAAUAUGUUCCAAUGGCGAAUAAAGAAGCAAUAUAUUACAUGGAUGGCAGAGAGUGAUGGUUGCAUUUUACCACCUGUGUAUAUGGCAUAUAUU